AUUGAACGCUGGCGGCAGGCCUAACACAUGCAAGUCGAGCGGAUGAAGGGAGCUUGCUCCUGUAUUCAGCGGCGGACGGGUGAGUAAUGCCUAGGAAUCUGCCUGGUAGGGGGGGAUAACGUCCGGAAACGGGCGCUAAUACCGCAUACGUCCUGAGGGAGAAAGUGGGGGAUCUUCGGACCUCACGCUAUCAGAUGAGCCUAGGUCGGAUUAGCUAGUUGGUGGGGUAAAGGCCUACCAAGGCGACGAUCCGUAACUGGUCUGAGAGGAUGAUCAGUCACACUGGAACUGAGACACGGUCCAGACUCCUACGGGAGGCAGCAGUGGGGAAUAUUGGACAAUGGGCGAAAGCCUGAUCCAGCCAUGCCGCGUGUGUGAAGAAGGUCUUCGGAUUGUAAAGCACUUUAAGUUGGGAGGAAGGGCAGUAAGUUAAUACCUUGCUGUGUUGACGUUACCAACAGAAUAAGCACCGGCUAACUUCGUG
Molecule: ribosomal RNA, 484 nt
Filed under: uncultured bacterium
Lineage: Bacteria
Description: partial 16S ribosomal RNA
Rfam family: Bacterial small subunit ribosomal RNA
Source: RNAcentral